AUGCCCAAUCGUACCUCAAGGGAAGCUGAGAAAGGUAGUUCUUUACCUGGGCAAAGUGCAGCUCUAAACAAAAUCGAAGUUCAGUUACUGAGAAGAAGGGAAGAUGGGUAUUGGUUGGGUAAAUGGCAGUAUCUACCAUGGUUAGCUACAUUUUUCUCUUUCCUCUUUUAUAGAAUAAAGACAAGUACACAUGUUGCAGUAGAGCAUAAAAAGCCCUACCGUUGGCCAGGUAGCCAUAAACUCUGUGUCUGUCUCAUCUGUGGUUUUGUCUUCGGUUCCUCCAAAAGGAACCAAGCACCUCUCGCAUGGAGAUGUCACGAUCCCCAUCUUAUAGGCACGUACUGAAGAAGAAUUUCAUUCAAGACACAAAGAAAUGACGAAGCUGUUUGGGGAACUGCCUGAGUCCUUUCGCUGCUCAAACCUCUGAUUCAUCCGCCCUUUCUGUAAAGACAGAAAUGACUUCUCACGUAAUUGAAGGUGGCCAUGAGGACAGGAGAACACAGGAGGUGGCCGGGGAUGCACAGCAUGAAGCUGGACAGCUCCUGGAGACCCUGUCAUCCCACAGAGGCUCAGAGAGGGCACAAGGCCUUGCUGUUGUCACAUAGCAAGACGGUGCCCCAGUGCUGUGGGAGGUGGCAGGAAACCAGAGUCCCGGGGCCAGUGCUGCCCUCCUGAAGGUCCUUGGCAAAGUCCCGACUCUGCUUGGAGCCUCAGUGUUCUCAUCCGUAAAAUGGCUAUGGACAUGAGCCCAGUGCAUUUCAAACACUUUUUUUAGUGGUUCAAUCCUAUUUGUUUUUCAAGCAAAACCAUGCAAGGAAUCCCCAAAACAUACUUUAAAAUGAAAAAUGCAGUCACUUUCCUCCUGGAAAACCCAGAUGCGAAAGGAGCCCAGGAAGGCUGUGGUUCCACGAAAGGCUGUUUGAACUUCAGGCACGAGCUGAGCAUUGAGACACUUCCUAGUGGAAUCUGAAGUCCUGCCAUCGAGGGAAGCUGUUCUUUUACCCCCCACCUGAACUCUGACUGUGGUGGCCCUGAGCAAUAGCAGGGUGUGCCCCGUCCCCCAUCCCGGCCCCACCACCACACACAGGGCUCCCCAGUGCAGA
Molecule: long non-coding RNA, 1103 nt
Filed under: Felis catus (domestic cat)
Lineage: Eukaryota; Metazoa; Chordata; Mammalia; Carnivora; Felidae
Description: lncRNA (ENSFCAG00000050256.1)
Source: RNAcentral